This 418-nucleotide unclassified non-coding RNA is filed under the name soil metagenome. RNAcentral's name for it is "partial contains 5.8S ribosomal RNA, internal transcribed spacer 2, and large subunit ribosomal RNA". The stretch from base 1 to 120 matches the Rfam family "5.8S ribosomal RNA", at positions 35 to 154 of the family's 154-position model. The record is from RNAcentral.
GAUGAAGAACGCAGCGAAAUGCGAUAAGUAAUGUGAAUUGCAGAAUUCAGUGAAUCAUCGAAUCUUUGAACGCAUCUUGCGCUCCUUGGUAUUCCUUGGGGCAUGCCUGUUUGAGUAUCAUGAGCAAAUCUCAAAGUCAAUUCCUUUUGUUGAUUCAAUUGGUUUUGCUUUGGACUUGGAGGCCUUGCAGAUUUCACAGUCUGCUCCUCUUAAAUGCAUUAGCUGGAUCUCAGUAAUUAUGCUUGGUUCCACUCGGCGUGAUAAGUAUCACUCGCUGAGGACACUGUUAAAAAGGUGGCCAGGAAAAUACUGAUUGAACCGCUUCUAACGGUCUAUUAAGUUAGACAAUUACCCUUAAGUUUGAUCUCAAAUCAGGUAGGACUACCCGCUGAACUUAAGCAUAUCAAUAAGCGGAGGA